This 282-nucleotide ribosomal RNA is filed under the name uncultured bacterium. RNAcentral's name for it is "partial 16S ribosomal RNA". It matches the Rfam family "Bacterial small subunit ribosomal RNA", at positions 334 to 607 of the family's 1533-position model. The record is from RNAcentral.
AGGGCCUACGGGGGGCAGCAGUAGGGAAUCUUCGGCAAUGGGGGCAACCCUGACCGAGCAACGCCGCGUGAGUGAAGAAGGUUUUCGGAUCGUAAAGCUCUGUUGUAAGAGAAGAACGUGUGUGAGAGUGGAAAGUUCACACAGUGACGGUAAUUUACCAGAAAGGGACGGCUAACUACGUGCCAGCAGCCGCGGUAAUACGUAGGUCCCGAGCGUUAUCCGGAUUUAUUGGGCGUAAAGCGAGCGCAGGCGGGUGGAUAAGUUUGAAGUUAAAGGCUGGGG